This 455-nucleotide ribosomal RNA is filed under the name uncultured delta proteobacterium. RNAcentral describes it as "bacterial SSU rRNA". It matches the Rfam family "Bacterial small subunit ribosomal RNA", at positions 1004 to 1458 of the family's 1533-position model. Lineage: Bacteria; Deltaproteobacteria. The record is from RNAcentral.
CUAGAGAGUGCUUCCAGUAGGAAGAGCCCGGAGACAGGUGCUGCAUGGCUGUCGUCAGCUCGUGUCGUGAGAUGUUGGGUUAAGUCCCGCAACGAGCGCAACCCUCGCCUUUAGUUGCCAGCAUUCAGUUGGGCACUCUAAAGGGACUGCCGGUGUCAAACCGGAGGAAGGUGGGGAUGACGUCAAGUCCUCAUGGCCUUUAUGUCUAGGGCUACACACGUACUACAAUGGCCGGUACAAAGGGCAGCAAGUCAGCGAUGACAAGCCAAUCCCGCAAAGCCGGUCUCAGUCCGGAUCGGAGUCUGCAACUCGACUCCGUGAAGUUGGAAUCGCUAGUAAUCGUGGAUCAGAAUGCCACGGUGAUACGUUCCCGGGCCUUGUACACACCGCCCGUCACACCACGAGAGUCGGUUGUUCCAGAAGCGGUUGAGCCAACCUUCGGGAGGCAGGCCGCC